GCCAAUCAAACUCCGUGAUAGCUGGUUCUCCCCGAAAUGCAUUUAGGUGCAGCGUUGCGUGUUUCUUGCCGGAGGUAGAGCACUGGAUAGCCGAUGGGCCCUACAAGGUUACUGACGUUAGCCAAACUCCGAAUGCCGGUAAGUGAGAGCGCAGCAGUGAGACUGCGGGGGAUAAGCUCCGUAGUCGAGAGGGAAACAGCCCAGACCAUCAGCUAAGGUCCCUAAGCGAUAACUAAGUGGAAAAGGAUGUGGAGUCGCACAGACAACCAGGAGGUUGGCUUAGAAGCAGCCACCCUUGAAAGAGUGCGUAAUAGCUCACUGGUCAAGUGAUUCCGCGCCGACAAUUUAGCGGGGCUCAAGUUAUCCACCGAAGCUAUGGCAUUCGCGCAUGUAUCUCGGCCCAGGUUCUGCCUGGGUCCAGGAGCGUGGAUGGGUAGGGGAGCGUCGUAUGGCGAGUGAAGCGGCGGAGUGAUCCAGCCGUGGACGCCAUACGAGUGAGAAUGCAGGCAUGAGUAGCGAAUGAGGAGUGAGAAACUCCUCCGCCGAAUGAUCAAGGGUUCCAGGGUCAAGCUAAUCUGCCCUGGGUAAGUCGGGACCUAAGGCGAGGCCGACAGGCGUAGUCGAUGGACAACGGGUUGAUAUUCCCGUACCGGCAAAAUAGCGCCCAUGACGAACCUGAUGAUGCUAAGUGCCCGAAGCUCCGGGACUCCUUCGGGAGGCCGGAGUGGAGCGCACGACCCGAAUCAGUAGUAGUCAAGCGAUGGGGUGACACAGGAAGGUAGCCCAACCGUGGCGAUGGUUGUCCACGGGUAAGUAUGUAGGGCGAGACGUAGGCAAAUCCGCGUCUCAUGUGCCUGAGACACGAUACGGAGUCCUUAUGGACGAAGUGGGUGAUCCUAUGCUGUCGAGAAAAACCUCUAGCGAGCUAUGCGCCGCCCGUACCCCAAACCGACUCAGGUGAUCAGGUAGAGAAUACCAAGGCGAUCGAGUGAACCAUGGUUAAGGAACUCGGCAAAAUGCCCCCGUAACUUCGGGAGAAGGGGGGCCGGAUCCGUGAGAGGACUUGCUCCUCGAAGCGGUGAUGGCCGCAGAGACCAGGCCCAAGCGACUGUUUACUAAAAACACAGGUCCGUGCGAAGUCGUAAGACGAUGUAUACGGACUGACGCCUGCCCGGUGCUGGAACGUUAAGAGGACCUGUUAGCUCUUCGGGGCGAAGCGGAGAAUUUAAGCGCCAGUAAACGGCGGUGGUAACUAUAACCAUCCUAAGGUAGCGAAAUUCCUUGUCGGGUAAGUUCCGACCUGCACGAAUGGAGUAACGACUUGGGCGCUGUCUCAACCGUGGACUCGGCGAAAUUGCACUACGAGUAAAGAUGCUCGUUACGCGCGGCAGGACGGAAAGACCCCGGGACCUUUACUACAGCUUGGUAUUGGUGCUCGGUUCGGCUUGUGUAGGAUAGGUGGGAGACUGUGAAGUGGCCACGCCAGUGGUUGUGGAGUCGUUGUUGAAAUACCACUCUGGUCGAAUUGGGUGUCUGAACCUCGGGCCAUGAUCUGGUUCAGGGACAGUGCCUGGUGGGUAGUUUAACUGGGGCGGUUGCCUCCUAAAGGGUAACGGAGGCGCCCAAAGGUUCCCUCAGCCUGGUUGGCAAUCAGGUGUCGAGUGUAAGUGCACAAGGGAGCUUGACUGUGAGACGGACGUGUCGAGCAGGGACGAAAGUCGGGACUAGUGAUCCGGCACCUCCUGGUGGAAGGGGUGUCGCUCAACGGAUAAAAGGUACCCCGGGGAUAACAGGCUGAUCUUGCCCAAGAGUCCAUAUCGACGGCAUGGUUUGGCACCUCGAUGUCGGCUCGUCGCAUCCUGGGGCUGGAGUAGGUCCCAAGGGUUGGGCUGUUCGCCCAUUAAAGCGGUACGCGAGCUGGGUUUAGAACGUCGUGAGACAGUUCGGUCCCUAUCCGCCGUGCGCGUAGGAGACUUGAGGAAGGCUGUCCCUAGUACGAGAGGACCGGGACGGACGGACCUCUGGUGUGCCAGUUGUCCCGCCAGGGGCAUGGCUGGUUUGCUAUGUUCGGAAGGGAUAACCGCUGAAGGCAUCUAAGCGGGCAAGCCCUCGGCCUAUUAGUACCGGUCGACUCCACCCCUCACAGAGCUUCCAUCCCCGGCCUAUCAACCCCAUCGUCUCUAGGGGGCCUUACCCACGCAAAGGUGGUGGGAGACCUCAUCUUGGAACGAGCUUCCCGCUUAGAUGCC
RNAcentral lists this ribosomal RNA (2249 nucleotides) under seawater metagenome. RNAcentral describes it as "bacterial LSU rRNA". It matches the Rfam family "Bacterial large subunit ribosomal RNA", at positions 828 to 2925 of the family's 2925-position model. The record is from RNAcentral.